This is a long non-coding RNA of Felis catus (domestic cat), 1404 nucleotides long. RefSeq lists it as uncharacterized. Lineage: Eukaryota; Metazoa; Chordata; Mammalia; Carnivora; Felidae. The record is from RefSeq and is a predicted model, not a curated record. The transcript is spliced from 2 exons.
AGCUGUUUGAUUUGGGAGGUGGGUCACCCACAAGGAGCAACGCAGAAAGGAAAGAGGUCGGCCUGGGGGUUGCUCCUCCCUCAUCCCGUCCACUUUACUGAUUUCUACCCUUUGCGAGAAGCCAAGAGCCACAAGUCAGAAGAUUCUCCUGGAACAUAACCAAGCUUGGACACGGAGAGGGUCUGAGGCAAGAGGCCCAUAUUUUCUCUUGGCAGAUCCUAAUUUUACUCCAAGGGCAUCGCUCGGAUGGAAGCUUCCAGAACUCUGUGCACCACCAGACAAAGCCUGAUUCCAAAAACAACUCAGCAAAGAUGUUCUUAAUUGUGUGUCUCCAAGAGAGGGGCAAGAGGAACCCUAACAAGCGUGACAUUUAUUGAAUGCUUUCUCUGAGCGAGCAUUGUGCUAGGGGACCGUCACUUGUCGGAAUACGCGUUUAUUCAACAAACACUGAACCCCCCUUAUGUGCAAAACAGGCCCCGGAAAGGCAAAGAUGAGCAAAACAGUCAAAAAUCCUAGCUCUCGCCGAACCUGUCGAUAAAAACAAACGUGCACGUCAGCUGACGACAAUGAACGUGAUGAAGGACGGUAAAAGCCAACUAAGGGAACGCUAUAUAAAACCUGCGUAAAAAUACAGCAGGCCAAGGAGCGUUAGUCCAGAUACAGCUGUGCUGGGGGGCUGCUGUGACUGCCGUCUGAUGACAGCAACGACGCAAGGCAGGAGAGAACACUGAACUGGCCCAACAUUGCACCAAACAAAUUAUGACCUGAAUGUCGAGAGAAACUGUGUCACCUAGAGAGACCCAAUUAACGACAUGACUCUGCUCUCCUCAAUUCUCCUCUCCCCUCCGGGCGUAUCCGGGGCACCCGUGUGGUUGACCGCCUUUUCCCACUACUGGCCACGUUCCCCGGCGAACUCCAAAGCCAGACACCAAACCCGGGCCUCCUGAGAAGCCCAACCCCGAGAGGGGAAAUCCUGCGCUCCGCACACCUGGGCCUGUGGAGGAAGCCGGAAGGACACCGGACAGAAAGCGCACCUGGGUGGCGGUCUGGAGUGUUCACCUUGAGAUCACUAAGUUGCUCCUUAAGCCAGCGCUGCGAGCAGAACAAACGAACAAACGCGGCCGACCAGCUCCCAAAUGAGGGCGUGCACGUGCCCUUUUCUGGUUAGCCCCUCCCUGGAGACCCCAUCACCUCCCCCUUCCCUCCAGCACACGCAGACAUGCCCGCUGCCAUCCCGACCUCCCCACCGACCACACGCAUGUGUGUGUACAUGCACAGAAACAUCCUCUCCCCAGCCCGAGCCUGGGUUUCUUUAGGGAACCAGCGCGUCCCCCCUCCCCCCUGCACUUGUCUCGGCUCCAGCCCCACACCGCUGCAGAGUUGGUAAUGUAAUAUGCGGGGACC